AAUUUCACACACUGUUAGCACUUUGAAAAGCUGAGAUUCACUGGUACAGAGGUGAGUAAUAGAAUUUAGGAUUCAGAGUGGCCUUUCCCAUUCCUUUCUUGUGCCCCCAAAAUUACCUCACGUUGGUUACUCGCAGCAAGGUUCUUUGAGUGUUACACUACAUUAAAUCCUCACCCUCCGUUCUCCUCAUUCCCGAUCAACGGUCCAGAUCUCCUCCCUCUUGCUUUUCAAUUAGGACGGCGCCACUACCACGCUUUUCGUUUUUUU
Molecule: long non-coding RNA, 267 nt
Filed under: Glycine max (soybean)
Lineage: Eukaryota; Viridiplantae; Streptophyta; Magnoliopsida; Fabales; Fabaceae
Description: long non-coding RNA (GMAX_LNC000050)
Source: RNAcentral